AGAUAUGAUUAUGGAACUUGCUGUACAUGCUCAGUUUAUUACAACUACUUUUAGGCCUGAACUGCUUGAGUCAGCUGACAAAUUCUAUGGUGUAAAGUUCAGAAAUAAGGUUAGUCAUAUUGAUGUGAUCACAGCAGAGAUGGCCAAAGACUUUGUAGAAGAUGAUACCACACAUGGUUAAUUGGAAAAUACUACCUACUGGUUUGGGAGAUGUAUAUAGUAAUAUGAUUCUCAUACCCAGGAACUGUAAAUUUAAACCUAAAUAUUUGGCCAAUAGUUUUCAGACUUAAAGCAUCAUAGUCCUUUUAUAUUUGUCUUUGUAUUUUAUAAGAUACUCUGUAAUGUCAUGUUUGUACUUACAGUUUAAGAAUUUAAUUUCCUGUACAACUUUUUGUAAAAUGUUCUGCUCCUAUUUUAAAUGUUUUGAAACAUGCUAAAUAUUCUUUCCUAAUUAUUUUA
This 459-nucleotide long non-coding RNA is filed under the name Pan troglodytes (chimpanzee). RNAcentral describes it as "long non-coding RNA NONPTRT001897". The record is from RNAcentral. Lineage: Eukaryota; Metazoa; Chordata; Mammalia; Primates; Hominidae.